GGGGGGAGGCUGGAUCCUGGGCUGUGUCCCAGCGCACUGUACUCCGGGUCAGCGCUGUUGGAUUCGCGCUCCCGCCCCGCAGCCCCCU
Molecule: microRNA precursor, 88 nt
Filed under: Canis lupus familiaris (dog)
Lineage: Eukaryota; Metazoa; Chordata; Mammalia; Carnivora; Canidae
Also listed under: 1 other name
Description: mir-8799 microRNA precursor family
Rfam family: mir-8799 microRNA precursor family
Source: Rfam by way of RNAcentral